This 313-nucleotide ribosomal RNA is filed under the name uncultured bacterium. Its description in RNAcentral is "bacterial SSU rRNA". It matches the Rfam family "Bacterial small subunit ribosomal RNA", at positions 30 to 349 of the family's 1533-position model. The record is from RNAcentral.
CCUGAACGCUGGCGGCGUGGCUAAGACAUGCAAGUCGAACGGGACCCGCAAGGGUUCAGUGGCGGACGGGUGAGUAAUGUAUCGCUAAUGUGCCCCGGAAUCCGGGAUAGCUAGCCGAAAGGCUAGGUAAUACCGGAUGAUAUACCUUGAAGGCAUCUUCGAGGUCUCAAAGGAGUAAUCCGGUCUGGGAGCAGGCGAUAUCGUAUCAGCUAGUUGGUGAGGAACGGCUCACCAAGGCGACGACGCGUAGCCGGGCUGAGAGGUUGGCCGGCCACAUUGGGACUGAGACACUGCCCAGACUCCGUACGGGGGC